RNAcentral lists this ribosomal RNA (254 nucleotides) under uncultured bacterium. RNAcentral's name for it is "partial 16S ribosomal RNA". It matches the Rfam family "Bacterial small subunit ribosomal RNA", at positions 524 to 776 of the family's 1533-position model. The record is from RNAcentral.
UACGUAGGGUGCAAGCGUUAAUCGGAAUUACUGGGCGUAAAGCGUGCGCAGGCGGUUAUGUAAGACAGGUGUGAAAUCCCCGGGCUUAACCUGGGAACUGCAUUUGUGACUGCAUAGCUAGAGUACGGUAGAGGGGGAUGGAAUUCCGCGUGUAGCAGUGAAAUGCGUAGAUAUGCGGAGGAACACCGAUGGCGAAGGCAAUCCCCUGGACCUGUACUGACGCUCAUGCACGAAAAGCGUGGGGAGCAAACAGG